UCAAUGGGGGCGGGCCUUACACAUGCAAGUCGAGCGGCAGCGGGAAAGUAGCUUGCUACUUUUGCCGGCGAGCGGCGGACGGGUGUACAAGGCCCGGGAACGUAUUCACCCGAGUGGGAUAACAAUUGGAAACGACUGCUAAUACCGCAUACGCCCUACGGGGGAAAGCAGGGGACCCCAAGGCCUUGCGCGAUUCGACAUACUUUAGUGAGGUCCGCUUGCUCGCGAGGUAAUGGCUCACCAAGGCGACGAUCCCUAGCUGGUCUGAGAGGAUGAUCAAGGGCCAUGGAACUUUGACGUCAUCCCCACCUUCCUCCAGUUUAUCAGUGGGGAAUAUUGCACAAUGGGGGAAACCCUGAUGCGCCAUGCCGCGUGUGUGGCGCUCGCCUUCGGACUUAACCCAACAUUUCACGAGGAACACGAGCUGAUGCCUAAUACGUAUCAACUGUGACGUUACUCGCAGAAGAAGCACCGGGCUAUCUCCGUGCUAAGUUCCGCGGUAGUCAAGAGUAGGUAAGCGUUCUUCGGAAUUACUGGGCGUAAAGCGCACGCAGGCGGUUGGAUAAGUUAGAUGUGAAUCAUUUGAGCUCAACCUGGGAGCCGUACUCCAGGCGGUCGACUUAACGUCUUGUAGAGGGGGGUAGAAUUCCAGGUGUAGCGGUGAAAUGCGUAGAGAUUACGGGGACUACCGGUGGCGAAGGCUGUUUGCUCCCCACGCUUUCGCACUCAGGUGCGAAAGCGUGGGGAGCAAACAGGAUUAGAUACCCUGGUAGUCCACGUCCAGAUCUCUACGCAUUUGGAGGCUGCACCCUUGGAAUUCUACCCCCGGAGCUAACGCGUUAAAUCGACCGCCUGGGGAGUACGGCCGCAAGGUUAAAACCGGGAUGAUUUCACGGGGGCCUUGACAGACCGCCUAGCGUGCGCUUUAAUUCGAUGCAACGCGAAGAACCUUACCUGGUCCUUGACAUGUCUGGAAUCAUGGAGAGAUCCGGUGAUUCUUCUGCGAGUAAUCAAUCACUCAGGUACCGCAUGGGCUGUCGUCAGCUCGUGUCGUGAGAUGUUGGGUUAAGUCCCGCAACAUACACAACCCCUGGCUGCUCAGGCUUGCGCCCANUGUGCAAUAUUCAAGGGAGACUGCCGGUGAUAAACCGGAGGAAGGAUGGGGAUGACGUCAAGUCGUCAUGGCCUCUCAGACCAGGGCUAGAUCGUCGCCUAGGUGAGCCGUUAAGAGGGCUGCAAGCUAGCGAUAGUGAGCGAAUCCCAAAAAGCGCGUCGUAGUCCAGGUCCCCCUCUGCAACCUUGCGACGUUAUGCGGUAUUCGCUAGUAAUCGCAAAUCAGAAUGUUGCGGUGAAUACGUUCCCGGGCCUUGUACACACCGUCCGCCACUCCACCCAAGGAGCAAGCUCCAGAAGGCUACCGUUCGACCUUCGGGAGGGCGUUACCA
This 1445-nucleotide ribosomal RNA is filed under the name Aeromonas hydrophila. RNAcentral's name for it is "bacterial SSU rRNA". It matches the Rfam family "Bacterial small subunit ribosomal RNA". Lineage: Bacteria; Pseudomonadati; Pseudomonadota; Gammaproteobacteria; Aeromonadales; Aeromonadaceae. The record is from RNAcentral.